ACAGGAGUCAGGCGGUGGGUGAUAAAAUCAAUCGUCGAGAGGGGAACAACCCAGACUAACAGCUAAGGUCCCUAAGUUACAUCUAAGUGGAAAACGAUGUGGAGUUACUGUGACAACCAGGAGGUUGGCUUAGAAGCAGCCAUCCUUUAAAGAAAGCGUAACAGCUCACUGGUCUAGUGAUUCUGCGCGGAAAAUAUAACGGGGCUAAGAUGUACACCGAAGCUUUAGAUUCAAUUUUUAAUUGAGUGGUAGGAGAGCGUUCUAUUCAGCGUAGAAGAUGUACCGGUAAGGAGCGUUGGAGCGGAUAGAAGUGAGCAUGCAGGCAUGAGUAGCGAUAAUUGAGGUGAGAAUCCUCAACGCCGAAAACCCAAGGUUUCCUACGCGAUGCUCGUCAUCGUAGGGUUAGUCGGGACCUAAGUCGAGUCCGAAAGGGGUAGACGAUGGCAAAUUGAUUAAUAUUUCAAUACCAACAUAUAAGCGCGAUGUGGGGACGCAUAGAGUUAAUCGAGGUCACUGAUGGAAUAGUGGCUCGAAGGACGUAGGCUGUUAAGUAGGCAAAUCCGCUUAACAUUAGGCCGAGAUCUUACAGGCUCUUGACACUCUUCGGAGGAGAUGGAGAAUCGAUGAUACUGUCGUGCCAAGAAAAGCCACUAAGUUUAUUAUAUGUUGCCCGUACCGUAAACCGACACAGGUGGGUGGGAUGAGUAUUCUAAGGCGCGUGGAAGAACCCUGGUUAAGGAACUCUGCAAACUAGCACCGUAUCUUCGGUAUAAGGUGUGCCUACUUUUGUAUAUGAACUUGCUUCAAAAAGCGAAAGAGGUUGCAACAAAGAGUCCCUCCCGACUGUUUACCAAAAACACAGCACUUUGCUAACACGUAAGUGGAUGUAUAAGGUGUGACGCCUGCCCGGUGCUCGAAGGUUAACUGAUGAUGUCAGCGCAAGCGAAGCAUUUGAUUGAAGCCCGAGUAAACGGCGGCCGUAACUAUAACGGUCCUAAGGUAGCGAAAUUCCUUGUCGGUUAAAUACCGACCUGCAUGAAUGGCGUAACGAGAUGGGAGCUGUCUCAACCAGGGAUCCAGUGAAAUUGUAGUGGAGGUGAAAAUUCCUCCUACCCGCGGAAAGACGGAAAGACCCCGUGCACCUUUACUACAGCUUGACACUGUAGCUUGGAUAUUCAUGUGCAGGAUAGGUGGGAGGCUAUGAUGACUAGACGCCAGUAGAGUCGGAGCCAUCCUUGA
Molecule: ribosomal RNA, 1239 nt
Filed under: Aliarcobacter butzleri
Lineage: Bacteria; Pseudomonadati; Campylobacterota; Epsilonproteobacteria; Campylobacterales; Arcobacteraceae
Description: partial 23S ribosomal RNA
Rfam family: Bacterial large subunit ribosomal RNA
Source: RNAcentral